RNAcentral lists this transfer RNA (39 nucleotides) under Citrus x limon. Its description in RNAcentral is "Citrus limon partial tRNA-Leu". The record is from RNAcentral. RNAcentral also lists the same sequence under 34 other names. Lineage: Eukaryota; Viridiplantae; Streptophyta; Magnoliopsida; Sapindales; Rutaceae.
AAAAUCCGUCGACUUUAGAAAUCGUGAGGGUUCAAGUCC